Molecule: long non-coding RNA, 1033 nt
Organism: Lepisosteus oculatus (spotted gar)
Lineage: Eukaryota; Metazoa; Chordata; Actinopteri; Semionotiformes; Lepisosteidae
Source: Ensembl
AGUUCCGGGUCUUUGAGACUUCCGGUUCAUUGUCCAUUCGAGGCGCAGGAAGGUUCCGUCUGAUAUCCGAGUAUUUCAGAGAACCGAUCUAGGAGUAGGACGUGUGAAGUGUUGCACUGGGACAUCCGCGUACUUGCACUGCUCGGUGCAGCUAUUUUAGGUUUAACAGCCCCGCCGUAUACCUAGUUGUUUGCCCCACACUCACACCACUGUGACAGGGGACAUGGGGAGGCGAUUUUAGAAAAGCCUUUACUGAACUGGUUCCCCUCUGCUUCUACUGUUCUUAGUACCACCAUCCACACUCUCCUCCCUGUAUUGUAAUUGUUUUAUCUUGUGCAGUCUUGUUAUUUAUUGCUGUUGUCAUUCUGUAAAGCCCCUGGAGAAGCCACCUUUAAAGGCACUAUAUACACAGAGUUUUAUUAGGAUUAUUUCAGCAGAAAUGGAGCGGAGCGCCCAGAGUCCUCUGGAGGACAGACCUGGGCCAGACACCAACCCCAUGCCCCUGGUGAGGGGGCAGAUAUGGCCCCUUCGGCCCUGCCCCUGCCCCAGACCUGGUCGAUUCUCACCCCACCCUGCCCCACACUGAGAAACCAGACAUAAAAUACACCAAAAAUUUAAUGAGUAAAGUCGAUUUCCAAAAGAAAAAAAAAAUAAAAACUUACAAUGAGAUUUUUUUUCCUGCUUUCAAUUUGGAAAAAACAAACAUUUAACUGCCACAAGAACAAAAAGAGUACAGACGAUUACGCCAAGUGUGAACAGCAGACGACCGCCCUCUCCCCCCGGCUGAGCUGCUGCAGGCUGUCCGGCCCUCUCUCCUGGCCCUGGAGCCUGCGGUCCGCACCAGGGCACAGGCACAGCGUGUGUGUGUCUGUCUGUACGGCGUCAGUGCGUGUCUGUGUGUGGGCAGUGUGCGUCUGUACGGCGUCAGUGUGCGUCUGUACGUGUGCAGUGUGCGUCAGUGUGCGUCUGUACGGCGUCAGUGCGUGUGCAGUGUGUGGGCAGUGUGCGUCUGUACGGCGUCAGUGCGUGUGCA